Centruroides sculpturatus (bark scorpion) is the source of this 1007-nucleotide long non-coding RNA. RefSeq lists it as uncharacterized. NCBI's taxonomy places the organism in Eukaryota, Metazoa, Arthropoda, Arachnida, Scorpiones, Buthidae. The record is from RefSeq and is a predicted model, not a curated record. The transcript has 3 exons.
GAAAAGUAGGCGAGAGGAAUUCGUACCGAAAAUGAGUUUGAAUCCGCAGUACGACACGAUAGGUAGAUCGUUCGUGCAUCAGUACUACUUACUUUUCGACGAUGCCGCUCAGAGGGCGAACCUGGCCAACUUCUAUAACGUAAGAAUUUAGGCUUAAGUUUCAAAUUCGAAAAGAAAAUUCUGCAAGUAUAAAUUCAAUCUUUCGUCUCUACGUAUCGAAAAGAUCCGCUCCACUAGGCUAGUUACCUUGCCGAACUCUUAAAAUCUUUUCUUGGAUUUAAUACGUGAAAAGAAGUUCUAUUUGGAGUGGCAAAAAGAAAAUAGUUUGCAAAAAGAUUGACUGAAGAAGUAAUAUAUCUCCAUUGCCAUAUAUGUAAUAAGUUGUGCCUUUUAUACACAUUGUGGUAUAGGCCAAAAAUCAUGCCUUUAGUCACCUUAAGCAGCAGACACAGGAUAUACUAAAUGUAUUUACAACAUUGAAAAAGUUUGAGUACAAAAAUGUCAUUAUUUUAUUGUAACUCAGUUCAAUUUUUACUAAAAUCAUUAUUUUUUAAAAAUGUAGAUAAAUUAUGUAUAAAAUAAAAUUAUUAACAUUUACAUACUAUUCUUCGGAGCACGACCCCAUUUUUUUAAAAUUGAAAAAGUUCACCUCUGACAAUGGUAACAUAACAAAGUUUAUAAAUUUAUUUUAAUGUUAUGCAUUUGACAUUAAACAGUGAAGUGACUAAACAGCCAUCAUUGAGACAUUUUUAUAUAAAUGAUGUUUUUCAUGAUUGUAUUGAAAAAGUUCUUUAAUGAAAAUAAACUAUUUAGUGAAAAAAUUGUGUUAGAUUUUACAUUAAAGUGUGAUAGAUUAUUUAAAUAUAUAAGUGAAAUAGAUUAUUCUUUAGCAAACAAAAGUAUUUUACUAGCUAGUUUUUAAAAUCAUGCCUUAAACACUUCAAGAAAUAUUAAAUAUAACAAUACAGUAAUAAUUUAUGGUUUACAUUUUCAAAACUCCUUAGGUA